GGCGGUGUGCGAUGGACAUGCAGCGACCUCCGGUGAGGCCGCGCGGCUCAUAACCGCGACGGCGAGGGUUCGACUCCCUCCGCUGCCA
This 88-nucleotide transfer RNA is filed under the name Kofleriaceae bacterium. RNAcentral's name for it is "tRNA-Met". It matches the Rfam family "tRNA". Rfam says of the family: Transfer RNA (tRNA) molecules are approximately 80 nucleotides in length. Lineage: Bacteria; Pseudomonadati; Myxococcota; Haliangiales; Kofleriaceae. The record is from RNAcentral.